CUUGAAACACGGACCAAGGAGUCUAGCAUGUGCGCGAGUCAUUGGGAAUAACUAAACCUAAAGGCGCAAUGAAAGUGAAGGUUCGUCUCGCGCGAACCAAGGGAAGAUGGGCGUGCCGCGUUCGUCGCGGCCGCUCCGCACUCCCGGGGCGUCUCGUUCUCAUCGCGAGAAGAGGCGCACCAAGAGCGUACACGCUGGGACCCGAAAGAUGGUGAACUAUGCCUGGUCAGGACGAAGUCAGGGGAAACCCUGAUGGAGGUCCGUAGCGAUUCUGACGUGCAAAUCGAUCGUCGGAACUGGGUAUAGGGGCGAAAGACUAAUCGAACCAUCUAGUAGCUGGUUCCCUCCGAAGUUUCCCUCAGGAUAGCUGGCGCUCGUCGCCUACGAGUCUCAUCCGGUAAAGCGAAUGAUUAGAGGCAUUGGGGUCGAAACGGCCUCAACCUAUUCUCAAACUUUAAAUGGGUGAGAUCUCCGGCUUGCUCGAACUAUUGAAGCCGCGAGACACGGAUCAGAGUGCCAAGUGGGCCAUUUUUGGUAAGCAGAACUGGCGCUGUGGGAUGAACCAAACGCCGAGUUAAAGCGCCUAAAUCGACGCUUAUGGGAUACCAUGAAAGGCGUUGGUAACUUAAGACAGCAGGACGGUGGCCAUGGAAGUCGGAAUCCG
This 664-nucleotide ribosomal RNA is filed under the name Blackburniella intricata. RNAcentral describes it as "eukaryotic LSU rRNA". It matches the Rfam family "Eukaryotic large subunit ribosomal RNA", at positions 653 to 1270 of the family's 3401-position model. Lineage: Eukaryota; Metazoa; Arthropoda; Insecta; Coleoptera; Cleridae. The record is from RNAcentral.